CUCGGGAUAAAUAGGUACCAUAUCAUAUGUAUAACGAGAACAGACAUGACACAGCAAGUUGCUAGUAUAACUAGCUCACACAGGGGUCUGAAAGCUUUUCAGUCAAGGCAGUCGGGGAUCUGGAGAGGAAGAGGAAGUACCUUUACUCUAUUCCUUGGCAGAGGACGAAGGUAGCAGAUUAAAAGAGGAUAAGGGGGUGCCGCUAGCUUGAGUUAUAAAAGAGGGUACUCUUACAAAGC
RNAcentral lists this long non-coding RNA (239 nucleotides) under Gossypium barbadense (sea-island cotton). Its description in RNAcentral is "long non-coding RNA (GBAR_LNC000183)". Lineage: Eukaryota; Viridiplantae; Streptophyta; Magnoliopsida; Malvales; Malvaceae. The record is from RNAcentral.